This is a non-coding RNA of Danio rerio (zebrafish), 511 nucleotides long. The record is from RefSeq and is a predicted model, not a curated record. Lineage: Eukaryota; Metazoa; Chordata; Actinopteri; Cypriniformes; Danionidae.
AUAAUAAUACAUCUUCGUUUCUUUUUUCCAGAGAAAUCAGUCUGUCAUCCAUCUUCGGAAUGACAUGAGGGUCCAUAGAGGCACCUAGUUAGGAAGGCAUAGAUAAUCACUUCAGGCGAUGCUGGAGACCACCUUGUUAACAAGGACUACAGCAGCACAUCGCAAACAUCCCUGGAGGACUUCAGGUUGUCGCACCUGUAUCGGUCGGCAUCCUAUAAUUGGCAUUUGCUCGGGACGCUCUUGCUUUGAUUGAGAGAGCAGUCAUGGACAGGUGAGUCUCUCUCACAGGUGUUUUUAAACCAUUUGACACACUAUCAGCGGACACAGAUGGAGUCUAUUCCACUUAUUAUGCGCCUUGUUAAGACAAUUUGCUGCACCUGAGCUAAGCCCAGUUUGUCACCACAAUGAUGCCGGGUGUGAUACAUUUCCUUUUAGAUUUUAUAGUUCACCCAGAAUGAAAAUGUUGUCAGUGUUUACUCAUCCUGUUGUUGUUUUAAGGCUUGACUAUAGA